UACGUAGGGGGCAAGCGUUGUCCGGAUUCAUUGGGCGUAAAGAGCGUGUAGGCGGCCUGGUAGGUCGGUUGUGAAAACUGGAGGCUCAACCUUCAGACGUCGACCGAAACCAUCUGGCUAGAGUCCGGGAGAGGAGAGUGGAAUUCCUGGUGUAGCGGUGAAAUGCGCAGAUAUCAGGAAGAACACCCGUGGCGAAAGCGGCUCUCUGGAACGGUACUGACGCUGAGACGCGAAAGCGUGGGGAGCGAACAGG
This 253-nucleotide ribosomal RNA is filed under the name uncultured bacterium. RNAcentral describes it as "partial 16S ribosomal RNA". It matches the Rfam family "Bacterial small subunit ribosomal RNA", at positions 524 to 776 of the family's 1533-position model. The record is from RNAcentral.